GAUGAAGAACGUAGCGAAAUGCGAUAAGUAAUGUGAAUUGCAGAAUUCAGUGAAUCAUCGAAUCUUUGAACGCACAUUGCGCCCGCUAGUAUUCUGGCGGGCAUGCCUGUCCGAGCGUCAUUUCAACCCUCAAGCCCCCGGGCUUGGUGUUGGGGAUCGGCGAGCCUCCGCGCCCGCCGUCCCCUAAAUCUAGUGGCUGUCUCGCUGUAGCUUCCUCUGCGUAGUAGCACACCUCGCACUGGGAAACAGCGCGGCCACGCCGUUAAACCCCCAACUUCUGAACGUUUGACCUCGGAUCAGGUAGGAAUACCCGCUGAACUUAAGCAUAUCAAUAAGCGGAGGA
This 343-nucleotide unclassified non-coding RNA is filed under the name soil metagenome. Its description in RNAcentral is "partial contains 5.8S ribosomal RNA, internal transcribed spacer 2, and large subunit ribosomal RNA". The stretch from base 1 to 120 matches the Rfam family "5.8S ribosomal RNA", at positions 35 to 154 of the family's 154-position model. The record is from RNAcentral.